Molecule: long non-coding RNA, 2018 nt
Filed under: Medicago truncatula (barrel medic)
Lineage: Eukaryota; Viridiplantae; Streptophyta; Magnoliopsida; Fabales; Fabaceae
Description: long non-coding RNA (MTRU_LNC005487)
Source: RNAcentral
UUAUUAUAGAUUUUGAUAUUCAAAUACGCUGUUGAUCAGGUUGUAACCUUGAUCGGCUAUUUUUUUUGUGUAAAAUUUAGUAUGUGUUUGGUUAUCCAGUGAGCCAUCGCUGCUUUACGUUUGCAGCUCAUUUUACGAUGAAUUUACAAAGCUACUGUUUGUAGCUUCUUUCUCAACGCUACUUUAUACCGUGAUUUUUCCUUUCAUCAAACACAUACUUAAUUGAAUUGUAAUUUUCAUUCGGCUUCUUCAACAAGGUGAGCAAUUUUGAGAUACUUACAAGAGCAACUAUGAUAGAUUUUUUUUCUAUAAAGGUAAGGGCUAUCUCAAGAGCCAAAGCAGCCUAUAAGAUUUUGUCUUAAAAUUUUGAGGCAAAAAAACAUUAAAAAAAUCAAUAUACAUAUAGUUAUAGAUCUUUACCCUCCUUAGUUGAUCAAGUUGAGUAUCUCAUAUUUGCUUCGAGUGAGGUUUAAAUCUAUUAAUCAAUCAAACUUGAUUUUGUUAAGGCAUUUUCUUCUUAAAUUUCAAAAGGUUUCACUACAACAUUUUUUUAGGUCUCUACAGGUUGAACCACCCUAUUGAAGUUAAUACUAUUUAAGCCAUGUCAAACAUUAAAUAUGUGGAUAUUUAUCAUAAGUGAGAUCUUAAUCCAAUUUCUUCUAAAAUAUCAUUAUAUUUAUCUUUUUAAUAACUAAAUAUUCAUUAUAUAUUAAUAUUACGUAUUUGAGUGUAUUUAACCGUUUCUUAUCUAUAACUUGAUAACAUAAUCUUUCUUUCCCUAAAAAAACAAUCUUUCUUGAUAAGGAGAAAAAUAUUUACAUAACAAUUAGCACGUUAACAUUUUUCAUUAAAAAAAAAAGAUGAGUAUAUGUUACGAAAUCUCAUAUUUUAGAAAGAUUGAAAUUUUUAGACAAUUGUAUGUGUCUUCUUAUUUAUAUAUAGAGAGAUACUUACUACCCACAUCCCAAAAAACACAAGUUACACUCUAGAAUGACUAAUAUACCCUUUAACUAAAUACAAAUUUUAAAUUAAUCUAAAAUCCUUUCAUCCAUCACUUAAUCACUGAAACCUAGAAACGUAAACCUAAUUCAUGUAUCGCUCUUUCUCAAAUAUGUGUGCACAGAGUCUUUCUGAAAUCACAUAAGUUGUAAAUCCGUAAACUUAAUGUACACUAAUCUAAAUUGAACAUACGUAAACUUAAUUUACAUUAACCUAGAUUGAACGUACGUAAACUGAAUUCACACUAACCUCUUAUAUACAUAUGUUAACUUAAUUUACAUUAACUUAAAUUGAACAUAAGUAAAUUGAAUUUACAUUAAUCUAAAUUGUUCAUAAGUAAAUUAAAUUUACAUUAACCUAGAUUAAACAUAAGUAAAUUAAAUUCACACUAACCUCUUAUAUACAUACGUAUCUCUUUUAAAUAUAUUUACGUAUAAUUUGAAAGAGAUACCUAGUCAGAAUGCAACCCAAAUUCGUACAUGGUACAUGCUUUAAAUUAUUUUCAAUUGGAAUAGUUACAUGCUUACAGCUAAUGGAAAUAUUCCCUUCAAAAAAAAAAAAAAAAGCUAAUGGAAAUAUUGUCUUCUAGAUGGUUUUGAUUUGAGCAUAUUGCAUAAGAUUCCUUUGCCACACAUAAUGAUGAUUUGAUUUGAAUUUUUUGUGACAAUAUCAUAGUGGUUUGAUGCUAACCUCUAUUUAUGUUUCCGCAUAUUCACAACAGCUUCAGAGAAUUUGCGUGGCUUGCUCUUAAGUGGAUUUUGUUGGUUCAAGUGAAGUGCAUGCAUACCACAGCCAGAAGACAAAAAGAUAUUCUAUUAGUAUUUGCUCUGUUUCAUCUUUUGACUUCAACCUUAUUAGAAGCAUUAGGUAUGGGUGAAUAUAAUUGAAAAAUAUUGUUUCGAUAUUCUUAUUGAUUUUCUCGAAUAAAAAAAAAAAUCAAUGCAACAUGGGAAACUUAGCAACCGUUUAAAGUUUCUCUCACAAGACUUCAGGUUCACAAGAAACUCUAGAAAUAAUUC